RNAcentral lists this ribosomal RNA (266 nucleotides) under uncultured bacterium. Its description in RNAcentral is "partial 16S ribosomal RNA". It matches the Rfam family "Bacterial small subunit ribosomal RNA", at positions 793 to 1055 of the family's 1533-position model. The record is from RNAcentral.
GUCCUCGCCGUAAACGAUGUAGACCAGGUGUGGGAGGUAUCGACCCCUUCCGUGCCGACGCUAACGCAUUAAGUCUACCGCCUGGGGAGUACGGCCGCAAGGUUAAAACUCAAAGGAAUUGACGGGGCCCGCACAAGCAGUGGAUCAUGUGGUUUAAUUCGACGCUACGCGAAGAACCUUACCUAGGCUCGAACGACUGGUGGUAGUCCUGAUGAAAGUCGGGGCGACCCGCAAGGGAGCCAGCCGAGGUGCUGCAUGGCUGUCGU